This 68-nucleotide transfer RNA is filed under the name Agrilus biguttatus. RNAcentral describes it as "tRNA-Ser". The record is from RNAcentral. Lineage: Eukaryota; Metazoa; Arthropoda; Insecta; Coleoptera; Buprestidae.
AGUUAAUGAACUUGAAUAAGUAUAUAUUUUGAAAAUAUAAUAAAGAAGAUUUAACCUUCUAUUAACUU